This 76-nucleotide transfer RNA is filed under the name Candidatus Kentrum sp. LFY. RNAcentral's name for it is "Candidatus Kentron sp. LFY tRNA_Lys_TTT". It matches the Rfam family "tRNA". Rfam says of the family: Transfer RNA (tRNA) molecules are approximately 80 nucleotides in length. Their secondary structure includes four short double-helical elements and three loops (D, anti-codon, and T loops). Further hydrogen bonds mediate the characteristic L-shaped molecular structure. tRNAs have two regions of fundamental functional importance: the anti-codon, which is responsible for specific mRNA codon recognition, and the 3' end, to which the tRNAs corresponding amino acid is attached (by aminoacyl-tRNA synthetases). tRNAs cope with the degeneracy of the genetic code in two manners: having more than one tRNA (with a specific anti-codon) for a particular amino acid; and 'wobble' base-pairing, i.e. permitting non-standard base-pairing at the 3rd anti-codon position. Lineage: Bacteria; Pseudomonadati; Pseudomonadota; Gammaproteobacteria. The record is from RNAcentral.
GGGCCGUUAGCUCAGUCGGUAGAGCACCGGACUUUUAAUCCGUUGGUCGAAGGUUCGAAUCCUUCACGGCCCACCA